GCCAUGUGGUGGCCUAGUGGUCAUGGUUACAGACUCGUGAUCUGUCGAGGCUCAAAGUCCUCCCUAUGACG
Molecule: non-coding RNA, 71 nt
Organism: Trichonephila clavata
Lineage: Eukaryota; Metazoa; Arthropoda; Arachnida; Araneae; Nephilidae
Source: the annotation of a GenBank genome assembly